RNAcentral lists this RNase P RNA (311 nucleotides) under Candidatus Woesearchaeota archaeon. RNAcentral's name for it is "RNase P RNA component". It matches the Rfam family "Archaeal RNase P". From Rfam's summary of the family: Ribonuclease P (RNase P) is a ubiquitous endoribonuclease, found in archaea, bacteria and eukarya as well as chloroplasts and mitochondria. Its best characterised activity is the generation of mature 5'-ends of tRNAs by cleaving the 5'-leader elements of precursor-tRNAs. Cellular RNase Ps are ribonucleoproteins. The record is from RNAcentral. Lineage: Archaea; Nanobdellati; Candidatus Woesearchaeota.
GUAGGAAAGCAGCUAACUGCGGCAUUCAAUUGCUGAGGAAAGUCCGUCCGCUAACCUGAAUAAGGUUCAUAAAAUGGGUUGCUUCUGAAAGGAAGUUCCAGAAAUGGAAGGCAACCACUCAGAAACGAUACUGCCUCAAUGCCGAAAUGAUGGCAACGCCUGAUCAUGGCAUGAGUGCUGGUGAAACGGUGAGUCCCGACCAGCGCAAGUCUAAAAAGACGCUUAGUCGAAUGUUAGCAUGGUUCUUCCGCUAGUGUUGUUCACUGAAACAAUGCAAGGGAACCAACAAAAGACGGCUUAAGCUUUCCUAC